UCCUACGGGAGGCAGCAGUGGGGAAUAUUGCACAAUGGGCGAAUGCCUGAUGCAGCAACGCCGCGCGAGUGAUGAAGGCCUUCGGGUCGUAAAACUCUGUCCUCAAGGAAGAUAAUGACGGUACUUGAGGAGGAAGCCCCGGCUAACUACGUGCCAGCAGCCGCGGUAAUACGUAGGGGGCUAGCGUUAUUCGGAUUUACUGGGCGUAAAGGGUGCGUAGGCGGUCUUUCAAGUCAGGAGUGAAAGGCUACGGCUCAACCGUAGUAAGCUCUUGAAACGGGGAGAUUUGAGUGCAGGAGAGGAGAGUGAAUUUCUAGGGUAGUGGUGAAAUGCGUAGAGAUUAGGAGGAACACCAGUUGCGAAGGCGGCUCUCUGGACUGUAACUGACGCUGAGGCACGAAAGCGUGGGGAGCAAACAGGAUUAGAUACCCUGGUAGUCCACGCUGUAAACGAUGAGUACUAGGUGUCGGGGGUUACCCCC
This 481-nucleotide ribosomal RNA is filed under the name Clostridioides difficile. RNAcentral's name for it is "bacterial SSU rRNA". It matches the Rfam family "Bacterial small subunit ribosomal RNA", at positions 337 to 841 of the family's 1533-position model. Lineage: Bacteria; Bacillati; Bacillota; Clostridia; Peptostreptococcales; Peptostreptococcaceae. The record is from RNAcentral.